CUUAGCCCUCGCUUCACUCGCUGGUAUUAAAUUUCAGUAGCAAUGCUUGCUUUUACUCCGCAGUCUCCAAGAUCCUCCCUUUGCCUCUCUUUCUCGGUGAAGAUGAUGGUACAGAGCAGGCAAGCGAAGGGAGGGAGACACUAGUGCCGUCUAAAAGAAAGUUACCGGGCAAUCGAGGUAGAGUAAGAAGAGAUUCUGCUCCUUACAGUGUAGAUAAGGAAAUUUAAAUAAAGGUGACGCCUUUGCGCGGAGAACAUCUGUAGGAGGCAAUGAACGCCGAGCCUGUGGCGCUUGGGCGCCGCCGGAGGCUUUCCGAUCUUCUGCUACUGGCGGUGGCUGCAGCGAUACUGUUUUUUUCGCCGUCUCUGCUCGCUCCGGUCGGCGCCUCCGUUUCCUACGACCGCAAGGCCCUCAUCAUCAAUGGUCAGCGGAGGAUUCUCAUCUCUGGUUCCAUUCAUUACCCCCGCAGCACUCCGGAGAUGUGGCCGGAUCUCAUACAGAAGGCCAAAGACGGCGGCUUGGAUGUCAUCCAGACCUAUGUGUUCUGGAACGGCCAUGAGCCUUCCCCUGGCCAGUAUUAUUUUGGAGGGAAUUAUGAUCUGGUUCGCUUUAUUAAGCUGGUGAAGCAGGCUGGUCUCUACGUUCAUCUUCGGAUAGGUCCUUAUGUUUGUGCAGAAUGGAACUUUGGGGGAUUUCCUAUCUGGCUAAAGUAUGUUCCUGGUAUCAGCUUCCGGACUAACAAUGGACCUUUCAAAGCUGCGAUGGAGAGUUUCACUGAAAAAAUUGUCUCCAUGAUGAAGUCUGAAGGAUUAUAUCAGUCUCAAGGUGGCCCGAUAAUCCUCUCACAGAUUGAAAAUGAAUAUGGUCCGUUGGAGGACUACUAUGGUGGCUCUGUCGCCAAGAAUUAUGCAACGUGGGCAGCUCAAAUGGCAGUUGGCCUUAACACCGGUGUGCCAUGGGUCAUGUGUAAACAAGAUGAUGCACCUGAUCCAGUAAUUAAUACUUGCAAUGGGUUCUACUGUGAUUAUUUCUCUCCAAACAAACCUUAUAAACCUAGUAUGUGGACUGAAGCUUGGACUGGCUGGUUCACCGCUUUUGGAGGUCCAGUUCCUCACCGGCCAGUUGAGGAUUUGGCUUUUGCUGUUGCAAGGUUUAUACAGAAAGGUGGAUCCUUUGUUAAUUACUACAUGUAUCAUGGAGGGACAAACUUUGGUCGGACAGCUGGUGGCCCAUUCAUAUCAACAAGCUAUGACUAUGAUGCUCCGAUAGAUGAAUAUGGUCUCUUGAGGCAACCAAAAUGGGGUCAUUUGAGAGAUCUUCAUAAAGCAAUUAAAAUGUCUGAGCCAGCCCUCAUAUCUGCAGAUCCAACAAUUUCAAAACUUGGAAAUUAUGAGCAGGCACACGUUUACAGAUCAAAAGCAGGUGCUUGUGCAGCAUUCCUUUCUAAUUAUAACCCAAGAUCAUCUGCAAGGGUUACUUUCAAUGGAGUGAGCUAUGACCUUCCAGCUUGGUCCAUCAGUAUACUUCCUGAUUGCAAAACUGCCGUAUUCAAUACCGCAAGGGUAGUAGCUCCGACAAUUCAGUACAAAAUGGCAUGGGUCGGCAAGUUUUCUUGGAAGUCCUUUAGUGAGCAGACCAACUCAUUGGAUGAUGAAUCGUUCACAAAAAAUGGACUAGUUGAGCAGCUAAGCAUGACACGGGACAAGUCUGACUACAUGUGGUACACUAUUACUGUUGACAUUAGCCCAAAUGAGCAAUUUUUGAAGAAUGGCCGGAACCCUUACCUCACCGUGAUGUCAGCUGGUCAUGCUAUGCAUGUUUUCGUCAAUGGAGAAAGAAUCGGCAUCGUCUAUGGUGGACUAGACAGUCCAAAGCUGACUUAUACAGGAAAUGUAAAGUUGUGGGCAGGAAGGAACAAGAUUUCCAUUUUAAGUGUAGCUGUUGGUCUGCCAAAUGUGGGUAACCACUUUGAGACAUGGAAUGCUGGUGUUCUUGGUCCGGUAACUCUAGAAGGACUAAACGAAGGAAAACGAGACCUUGGAUCACAAACAUGGACUUACCAGGUUGGCCUACAGGGUGAACAUUUAAAUCUUCACACACUUAAUGGAGCUUCUUCAGUUGAGUGGGGAGGUGCAUCCACAAGAAUGCCCAUGACUUGGCACAAGGCUUACUUCAAUGCUCCAGCAGGGAAUGACCCAUUGGCUUUAGAUAUGAGUAGCAUGGGUAAAGGUCAAAUAUGGAUAAAUGGGCAAAGUAUCGGUCGUUAUUGGCCUGCCUACAAAGCUUCCGGUUCUUGUGGUGAUUGUGAUUACCGUGGAACGUACAAUGAGAAAAAAUGCCAAACUAAUUGUGGGGAUUCUUCUCAAAAAUGGUAUCAUGUUCCUCGCUCCUGGCUAAAGCCAACUGGAAAUCUUCUGGUUGUUUUCGAAGAGAUGGGUGCGGACCCAUCUGGCAUAUCCAUGGUAAGAAGAACAGCUCAGUGAAAGAGCUUAUUGUUCAGGACAUCUAGAAAUAAUAACCAAGGUGAAGGAUUAAGUUAAAUAAAGAAGACAAGACAAUUGUUCUAGACAUCUACAAAUAUACUCCUGGUGAUCGAUGGAGAAGCAGGAACUGCAGCCAUUGAGAGCCCAGGAUUUUCCUGUUUAAGUUCAAGAAGAUGAACAUAGAGUAGUAUGUUCGACAUUGCUUGCCAAAAUGUAUAUGGAUUAUUGGAUGCAUCUUAACUCAAGGAUGCUGAAUACCUAUAAUUAUGUCAUUGCAAACCAUUCGUUUGCACCAUGUAAGUGGUCGGGUUAAUGCUUACAGAAAACAGUAUGGAUGAAUUAAACACUUGUUUCUAUAUUAUUCAAGCUUGUAAGACAUGUUUGAUCUACAGAAAAC
RNA transcript from Zingiber officinale, 2880 nucleotides. It is a transcript of the gene named beta-galactosidase-like, with no coding region annotated. The transcript is spliced from 19 exons. The record is from RefSeq and is a predicted model, not a curated record. NCBI's taxonomy places the organism in Eukaryota, Viridiplantae, Streptophyta, Magnoliopsida, Zingiberales, Zingiberaceae.